CCUACGGGAGGCAGCAGUGAGGAAUAUUGGUCAAUGGACGAGAGUCUGAACCAGCCAAGUAGCGUGAAGGAUGACUGCCCUAUGGGUUGUAAACUUCUUUUAUAUGGGAAUAAAAUGUUCCACGUGUGGGAUUUUGUAUGUACCAUAUGAAUAAGGAUCGGCCAACUCCGUGCCAGCAGCCGCGGUAAUACGGAGGAUCCGAGCGUUAUCCGGAUUUAUUGGGUUUAAAGGGAGCGUAGGUGGUUUGUUAAGUCAGUUGUGAAAGUUUGCGGCUCAACCGUAAAAUUGCAGUUGAAACUGGCAGUCUUGAGUACAGUAGAGGUGAGCGGAAUUCGUGGUGUAGCGGUGAAAUGCUUAGAUAUCACGAAGAACUCCGAUUGCGAAGGCAGCUCACUGGACUGCAACUGACACUGAGGCUCGAAAGUGUGGGGAUCAAACAGGAUUAGAUACCCUUGUAGUC
Molecule: ribosomal RNA, 460 nt
Filed under: uncultured bacterium
Lineage: Bacteria
Description: partial 16S ribosomal RNA
Rfam family: Bacterial small subunit ribosomal RNA
Source: RNAcentral